This 74-nucleotide transfer RNA is filed under the name Candidatus Aenigmatarchaeota archaeon. Its description in RNAcentral is "tRNA-Pro". It matches the Rfam family "tRNA". From Rfam's summary of the family: Transfer RNA (tRNA) molecules are approximately 80 nucleotides in length. Their secondary structure includes four short double-helical elements and three loops (D, anti-codon, and T loops). Further hydrogen bonds mediate the characteristic L-shaped molecular structure. tRNAs have two regions of fundamental functional importance: the anti-codon, which is responsible for specific mRNA codon recognition, and the 3' end, to which the tRNAs corresponding amino acid is attached (by aminoacyl-tRNA synthetases). tRNAs cope with the degeneracy of the genetic code in two manners: having more than one tRNA (with a specific anti-codon) for a particular amino acid; and 'wobble' base-pairing, i.e. permitting non-standard base-pairing at the 3rd anti-codon position. Lineage: Archaea; Nanobdellati; Candidatus Aenigmatarchaeota. The record is from RNAcentral.
GGGGAGGUAGUCUAACUUGGUUAGGACGCUGGCCUUGGGCGCCAGGAAUCUGGGUUCAAAUCCCAGCCUCCCCA